CCUACGGGAGGCUGCAGUGGGGAAUAUUGCACAAUGGGCGCAAGCCUGAUGCAGCCAUGCCGCGUGUGUGAAGAAGGCCUUCGGGUUGUAAAGCACUUUCAGCGGGGAGGAAGGCGGUGAGGUUAAUAACCUCAUCGAUUGACGUUACCCGCAGAAGAAGCACCGGCUAACUCCGUGCCAGCAGCCGCGGUAAUACGGAGGGUGCAAGCGUUAAUCGGAAUUACUGGGCGUAAAGCGCACGCAGGCGGUCUGUCAAGUCGGAUGUGAAAUCCCCGGGCUCAACCUGGGAACUGCAUUCGAAACUGGCAGGCUAGAGUCUUGUAGAGGGGGGUAGAAUUCCAGGUGUAGCGGUGAAAUGCGUAGAGAUCUGGAGGAAUACCGGUGGCGAAGGCGGCCCCCUGGACAAAGACUGACGCUCAGGUGCGAGAGCGUGGGGAGUAAACAGGAUUAGAUACCCUAGUAGUC
RNAcentral lists this ribosomal RNA (465 nucleotides) under uncultured Klebsiella sp. Its description in RNAcentral is "bacterial SSU rRNA". It matches the Rfam family "Bacterial small subunit ribosomal RNA", at positions 338 to 795 of the family's 1533-position model. Lineage: Bacteria; Pseudomonadati; Pseudomonadota; Gammaproteobacteria; Enterobacterales; Enterobacteriaceae. The record is from RNAcentral.